This 446-nucleotide ribosomal RNA is filed under the name uncultured bacterium. RNAcentral describes it as "partial 16S ribosomal RNA". It matches the Rfam family "Bacterial small subunit ribosomal RNA", at positions 338 to 795 of the family's 1533-position model. The record is from RNAcentral.
CCUACGGGGUGCAGCAGUCGAGAAUCAUUCACAAUGGGGGAAACCCUGAUGGUGCGACGCCGCGUGGGGGAAUGAAGGUCUUCGGAUUGUAAACCCCUGUCAUGUGGGAGCAAAUUAAAAAGAUAGUACCACAAGAGGAAGAGACGGCUAACUCUGUGCCAGCAGCCGCGGUAAUACAGAGGUCUCAAGCGUUGUUCGGAAUCACUGGGCGUAAAGCGUGCGUAGGCUGUUUCGUAAGUCGUGUGUGAAAGGCGCGGGCUCAACCCGCGGACGGCACAUGAUACUGCGAGACUAGAGUAAGGGAGGGGGAACCGGAAUUCGCGGUGUAGCAGUGAAAUGCGUAGAUAUCGAGAGGAACACUCGUGGCGAAGGCGGGUUCCUGGACAUUAACUGACGCUGAGGCACGAAGGCCAGGGGAGCGAAAGGGAUUAGAUACCCUUGUAGUC